AGCAGCCGCGGUAAUUCCAGCUCCAAUAGCGUAUAUUAAAGUUGUUGCAGUUAAAAAGCUCGUAGUUGAAUUUCGGGAUCAAUUAAUUGGCCGUGCCUCUGGUACGUACUGAUUUUAUUGGUUUCUCCCUUCUGACGAACCAUGAUGUCAUUAAUUUGGUGUCGUGGAGAAUCAGGACUGUUACUUUGAAAAAAUUAGAGUGUUUAAAGCAAGCUAACGCUUGAAUACAUUAGCAUGGAAUAAUGAAAUAGGACGUUUGAUCCUAUUUUGUUGGUUUCUAGGAUCGACGUAAUGAUUAAUAGGGAUAGUUGGGGGCAUUAGUAUUCAAUUGUCAGAGGUGAAAUUCUUGGAUUUAUUGAAGACUAACUACUGCGAAAGCAUUUGCCAAGGAUGUUUUCAUUAAUCAAGAACGAAAGUUAGGGGAUCGAAGACGAUCAGAUACCGUCGUAGUCUUAACCAUAAACUAUGCCGACUAGGGAUCGGAUGAUGUUAAUUUUUUAAUGACUCAUUCGGCGCCUUA
Molecule: unclassified non-coding RNA, 520 nt
Filed under: uncultured Glomus
Lineage: Eukaryota; Fungi; Glomeromycota; Glomeromycetes; Glomerales; Glomeraceae
Description: SSU rRNA
Rfam family: Eukaryotic small subunit ribosomal RNA
Source: RNAcentral